RNAcentral lists this ribosomal RNA (275 nucleotides) under uncultured bacterium. RNAcentral's name for it is "partial 16S ribosomal RNA". It matches the Rfam family "Bacterial small subunit ribosomal RNA", at positions 338 to 611 of the family's 1533-position model. The record is from RNAcentral.
CCUACGGGGGGCUGCAGUCGAGAAUCUUCGGCAAUGAGCGCAAGCUUGACCGAGCGACGCCGCGUGCGGGAUGAAGGCCUUCGGGUUGUAAACCGCGAAAGUAGGGAGGAAAUCGCUAGGGGUUCUCCCCUAGUGUUGACCUAUCUUCAGUAAGGACGGGCUAAGUUCGUGCCAGCAGCCGCGGUAAUACGAACCGUCCAAACGUUAUUCGGAUUUAUUGGGCUUAAAGGGUAUGUAGGCGGCCCUUCAAGUCGGGUGUGAAAGCCCUCGGCUCA